Molecule: transfer RNA, 71 nt
Filed under: Leptoxis ampla
Lineage: Eukaryota; Metazoa; Mollusca; Gastropoda; Pleuroceridae
Description: tRNA-Gln
Source: RNAcentral
UUUUAAUAACGGUGUUUGUGCACGAGGAAUUUUGAUUUCCUAAGUAGGAGCUUAGAAUUCCCUUAUUAAAU